GACGAACGCUGGCGGCGUGCUUAACACAUGCAAGUCGAACGGAAAGGCCCUGCUUUUGUGGGGUGCUCGAGUGGCGAACGGGUGAGUAACACGUGAGUAACCUGCCCUUGACUUUGGGAUAACUUCAGGAAACUGGGGCUAAUACCGGAUAGGAGCUCCUGCUGCAUGGUGGGGGUUGGAAAGUUUCGGCGGUUGGGGAUGGACUCGCGGCUUAUCAGCUUGUUGGUGGGGUAGUGGCUUACCAAGGCUUUGACGGGUAGCCGGCCUGAGAGGGUGACCGGCCCCAUUGGGACUGAGAUACGGCCCAGACUCCUACGGGAGGCAGCAGUGGGGAAUAAUGCACAAUGGGCGGAAGCCUGAUGCAGCAACGCCGCGUGCGGGAUGACGGCCUUCGGGUUGUAAACCGCUUUCGCCUGUGACGAAGCGUGAGUGACGGUAAUGGGUAAAGAAGCACCGGCUAACUACGUG
Molecule: ribosomal RNA, 468 nt
Filed under: uncultured bacterium
Lineage: Bacteria
Description: partial 16S ribosomal RNA
Rfam family: Bacterial small subunit ribosomal RNA
Source: RNAcentral